RNAcentral lists this unclassified non-coding RNA (384 nucleotides) under Hevea brasiliensis (rubber tree). Lineage: Eukaryota; Viridiplantae; Streptophyta; Magnoliopsida; Malpighiales; Euphorbiaceae. The record is from RNAcentral.
ACUGAAAUUGUCAAAUACUGUGGGAACAUAGUCCGUUGGAAAGGUAUUACUGGUGUAGGAAAUGAGCAUGCAAGUCUUUCCCACAGCACCAUCCCCCACCGUCACACACUUGAUAAAUCUUGCUGUACUCAUUUUUGGUAGCCUCUUAAGGCAAACUUCGCAUAAUCUUUAUAUAUAAAUGUAUAUUUUGUUUCUUCUCUACUUAUACGUAUAACCAUAAUAAUAGAAGUAGUUGUGAAGUAUGAAAGAAAAUGGAAGGAAGAUGCAGGAAUUUAACAACCUACAAGCCUAAAUCAACCACUGUAGCUGAAAUUUAUCAAAUAUAAAAUGAUUGCAAGAAAAGCUUUUCUUUUCUUUAAGUGCAAGGACAGAGCUAGAUGGUGG